GAGGAUUUGGGAGGCGGGGAAGGUUUGGGUUUGUGGGGUUGUGAUUGGGAGGUUGUUGGCGGCGAGGAGAGAGCGGAGGUUUUUGAUUUCGAAGAGUCUGAGGAUGGAAGCGAGGGUGGUGGUGUUUGGGAGUUUGUAGUCGAUGAGUGAGUUGCAUGUGGCGGUGGAGGUGGUGUUUGAGCAUCGGAAACCUAAACUUGGUGUUUGUGCAGUUGAUUGAAUGGAGAAGAUGGAACAGAGUAAAAACAAUAUGGGGAAGAAAACCAUGUUGGAAAACCCCAUGUUUUCUCUUUGUAAGAUAUUGUGUGCUUGCAAUGG
This 318-nucleotide long non-coding RNA is filed under the name Lactuca sativa (garden lettuce). RNAcentral's name for it is "long non-coding RNA (LSAT_LNC008554)". The record is from RNAcentral. Lineage: Eukaryota; Viridiplantae; Streptophyta; Magnoliopsida; Asterales; Asteraceae.